GUGGUCGUGCAAUGUGGUGUUCGGGAGGGCUCUGUCCGAGUCCGGUUUUGGUCCAAGUCUCCUGGAAAGGAGUUCCAUGGAGGGUGACAGGCCCGUGCGACCAAUAACCGUGUUCGCGGACGAGUCCUCCUUCGAGUCGGGUUGUUCGCUAAUGCAGCCCUAAGCAGGUGGUAAGCUCCAUCUAAAGCUAAAUAUAACCACGAGUCCGAUAGUCAACAAGUACAGUGAUGGAAAGUUGAAAAGUACUCUGAAGAGAGAGUCAAAUAGCCCGUGAAGCUGCCAGUAUGGGAUUAAGCGCACGUGCGGCGCGUGUCGUCGGACAAAUAGGCGACUGUUGUGCGUACGGCUGGUGCGGUGUGCGUCUUGAUCGGCGUGCAUUGUGCCGGCUGGUGUGUGCGUGCCACAGAACGCUUCCCUUUGUUCGGCAUUGACAGGUCGGGGCUUCGUUGUCAAUGGUCUUAUUGCCGACAGUGAUCCACAGAGCCGAACUGGGCGGUCGUCGACUUCGGUCGGCGGCCGUGCUCCGCCGAAUGUGGUCCCUUGCGGACGCGGCGGCCGGUCUGGUCUGCGGUGCAAUGCUGUCGUUUGCGAACGACUAGGCGACGGCCAACGCAUUCGAAUCUCACGAUUCGGCUCGACCUUUGCGCUGUCACGUGCGGCCCGUCUUGAAACACGGACCAAGGAGUCUAACAUGUGAGCAAGCGAUUGAGAUUGUCGAAUCUCAAACGCGCAAUGAAAGUGAAGUGUCGUCUGACGGCACGAGCGGUGAUCUGACGUCACAUGUGGCGGCAGCGCAACCGCGGGCCGCGCCAUGGGCUGGCUUGCUUUUCGGAGCACUGCUCAGGCGCGGACCUAGAGCCCAC
This 863-nucleotide ribosomal RNA is filed under the name Octolasmis neptuni. Its description in RNAcentral is "partial large subunit ribosomal RNA". It matches the Rfam family "Eukaryotic large subunit ribosomal RNA", at positions 132 to 805 of the family's 3401-position model. The record is from RNAcentral. Lineage: Eukaryota; Metazoa; Arthropoda; Thecostraca; Poecilasmatidae.